This is a non-coding RNA of Phrynosoma platyrhinos (Desert horned lizard), 73 nucleotides long. NCBI's taxonomy places the organism in Eukaryota, Metazoa, Chordata, Lepidosauria, Squamata, Phrynosomatidae. The record is from the annotation of a GenBank genome assembly.
GCCCAACAUGGUGUUGUGGUUCGAGUGUUGGACUAUAAUUCUAAAGAUCAGGGUUCAAUUCCCUGCUUAGCCA